UACAGAGGGUGCGAGCGUUAAUCGGAAUUAUUGGGCGUAAAGGGCGCGUAGGCGGCUUCGCAAGUGGUGGGUGAAAUCCCUCGGCUUAACCGAGGAACUGCCCUCCAAACUGCGUUGCUUGAGUCCGGGAGAGGUGAGUGGAAUUCCCAGUGUAGCGGUGAAAUGCGUAGAUAUUGGGAGGAACACCAGUGGCGAAGGCGGCUCACUGGACCGGAACUGACGCUGAGGCGCGAAAGCGUGGGGAGCAAACGGG
Molecule: ribosomal RNA, 253 nt
Filed under: uncultured bacterium
Lineage: Bacteria
Description: partial 16S ribosomal RNA
Rfam family: Bacterial small subunit ribosomal RNA
Source: RNAcentral